CCAUGGUCCUCUGUGGGCAUCUUACUAGACAGUGCUGGAUUUUUUGGAUCUACUCUAACACUGUCUGGUAACGAUGUUUAAAGGGUGAACCAAAC
RNAcentral lists this microRNA precursor (95 nucleotides) under Columba livia (rock pigeon). RNAcentral describes it as "microRNA cli-mir-200a precursor". Its record names the gene cli-mir-200a. The stretch from base 13 to 81 matches the Rfam family "mir-8/mir-141/mir-200 microRNA precursor family". Rfam says of the family: The bounds of the precursors are predicted based on conservation and base pairing and are not generally known. The record is from miRBase by way of RNAcentral. RNAcentral also lists the same sequence under 2 other names. Lineage: Eukaryota; Metazoa; Chordata; Aves; Columbiformes; Columbidae.